Molecule: long non-coding RNA, 214 nt
Filed under: Salvia miltiorrhiza (redroot sage)
Lineage: Eukaryota; Viridiplantae; Streptophyta; Magnoliopsida; Lamiales; Lamiaceae
Description: long non-coding RNA (SMIL_LNC009633)
Source: RNAcentral
GCAGUCUUGGUGUCCGAGUUUUUAAGUUUGACAUUUCGUUUUACAGAAUUUUUGUUGUUGAAAAUCAUACAAGUGUUUUAACUUGCCACCUUUUUUUUGUUUUUUGGGCGUGUAAAUUUUGAGAUUAACAUGUGCAACUUUUGUGGUUGUUACAAUGCCAGCAUAAAUAAAUUUUGUAAAAUUUGACAAUUUUGCAAUUGUAUUGUUAUUAGGG